This 1101-nucleotide ribosomal RNA is filed under the name fungal sp. Its description in RNAcentral is "eukaryotic LSU rRNA". The stretch from base 537 to 1101 matches the Rfam family "Eukaryotic large subunit ribosomal RNA", at positions 1 to 575 of the family's 3401-position model. Lineage: Eukaryota; Fungi. The record is from RNAcentral.
AUUACCGAGUUUACAACUCCCAAACCCAAUGUGAACGUUACCAAACUGUUGCCUCGGCGGGAUCUCUGCCCCGGGUGCGUCGCAGCCCCGGACCAAGGCGCCCGCCGGAGGACCAACCAAAACUCUUAUUGUAUACCCCCUCGCGGGUUUUUUUAUAAUCUGAGCCUUCUCGGCGCCUCUCGUAGGCGUUUCGAAAAUGAAUCAAAACUUUCAACAACGGAUCUCUUGGUUCUGGCAUCGAUGAAGAACGCAGCGAAAUGCGAUAAGUAAUGUGAAUUGCAGAAUUCAGUGAAUCAUCGAAUCUUUGAACGCACAUUGCGCCCGCCAGUAUUCUGGCGGGCAUGCCUGUCCGAGCGUCAUUUCAACCCUCGAACCCCUCCGGGGGGUCGGCGUUGGGGAUCGGCCCUCCCUUAGCGGGUGGCCGUCUCCGAAAUACAGUGGCGGUCUCGCCGCAGCCUCUCCUGCGCAGUAGUUUGCACACUCGCAUCGGGAGCGCGGCGCGUCCACAGCCGUUAAACACCCAACUUCUGAAAUGUUGACCUCGGAUCAGGUAGGAAUACCCGCUGAACUUAAGCAUAUCAAUAAGCGGAGGAAAAGAAACCAACAGGGAUUGCCCCAGUAACGGCGAGUGAAGCGGCAACAGCUCAAAUUUGAAAUCUGGUCCCUAGGGCCCGAGUUGUAAUUUGUAGAGGAUGCUUUUGGUGAGGUGCCGCCCGAGUUCCCUGGAACGGGACGCCACAGAGGGUGAGAGCCCCGUCUGGCUGGCCGCCGAGCCUCUGUAAAGCUCCUUCGACGAGUCGAGUAGUUUGGGAAUGCUGCUCAAAAUGGGAGGUAUAUGUCUUCUAAAGCUAAAUAUUGGCCAGAGACCGAUAGCGCACAAGUAGAGUGAUCGAAAGAUGAAAAGCACCUUGAAAAGAGGGUUAAAUAGUACGUGAAAUUGUUGAAAGGGAAGCGCUUGUGACCAGACUUGGGCGCGGCGGAUCAUCCGGGGUUCUCUCCGGUGCACUUCGCCGCGUCUAGGCCAGCAUCAGUUCGUCGCGGGGGAAAAAGGCUUCGGGAACGUGGCUCCUCCGGGAGUGUUAUAGCCCGUUGCAUAAUACC